This 492-nucleotide ribosomal RNA is filed under the name uncultured bacterium. RNAcentral describes it as "partial 16S ribosomal RNA". It matches the Rfam family "Bacterial small subunit ribosomal RNA", at positions 29 to 507 of the family's 1533-position model. The record is from RNAcentral.
AGUGAACGCUGGCGGUAGGCCUAACACAUGCAAGUCGAACGGCAGCACAGUAAGAGCUUGCUCUUACGGGUGGCGAGUGGCGGACGGGUGAGGAAUACAUCGGCAUCUACUUUUUCGUGGGGGAUAACGUAGGGAAACUUACGCUAAUACCGCAUACGACCUACGGGUGAAAGCAGGGGAUCUUCGGACCUUGCGCGAUUGAAUGAGCCGAUGUCGGAUUAGCUAGUUGGCGGGGUAAAGGCCCACCAAGGCGACGAUCCGUAGCUGGUCUGAGAGGAUGAUCAGCCACACUGGAACUGAGACACGGUCCAGACUCCUACGGGAGGCAGCAGUGGGGAAUAUUGGACAAUGGGCGCAAGCCUGAUCCAGCCAUGCCGCGUGGGUGAAGAAGGCCUUCGGGUUGUAAAGCCCUUUUGUUGGGAAAGAAAAGCAGCGGGUUAAUACCCCGCUGUUCUGACGGUACCCGAAGAAUAAGCACCGGCUAACUUCGUG